This is a non-coding RNA of Python bivittatus (Burmese python), 116 nucleotides long. NCBI's taxonomy places the organism in Eukaryota, Metazoa, Chordata, Lepidosauria, Squamata, Pythonidae. The record is from RefSeq and is a predicted model, not a curated record.
GAAAUCGUGUAAGUGGAUUUGCACGAAGAAAGUUCUUUUUCCAUACUGGAGAGCAGAACCUACCAGGAAAAAAAAUAUGCAAGUAAAAUGAAAAGAGGAGCAGAUUAGAUUUCUAA